CCUAAUCAUCAUAUAUCUCUCUUUUUUUUCUUUCUCAAAGCCUCUUAAAGGCCGAAAAAUAGGGUUAGGGUUAGGUAUAAUGAUGAUGAAGAAGAAAAAAUAUGUAUAUAUAUGUGGUGGGUUUGAGGGGGAUGUUGUCUGGCUCGACACAAUUACUCUCUUGUGUGUGUAUAUUCGUCAUCAAGAUUGAUCUUGAUGAUGAAUGAAUUAAACACAAUAAGUUGUAAAAAAGGAGUAAAGGCGUCGGACCAGGCUUCAUUCCUCUCAAACAAUAUUCUACUUCUAAACCAAAAACACUUGUGUUCGGCUGCUUUUUCUCUACCAAACUAGGGUUUCCUUCCAAGAAAAAAACAUGAAGAUUAUAUACAUAUAUAUACCCUUGUAAUUGUUAAGGUUAUUUUUGUACAUGAUUUAAUUUUUGUAAUCAUGAAAUUAAGUCACUGAUUAUUAAUUUUGGAGAAGGUGUUUUUUUUUUUUCAAGGAGGGGUUAGACACAAAUCAUGUACACCAAGUAUAUUUUGUUGGCUAAUUAAAAAUUAUGGUGACAAAAUGUUCAAUGUUGUACUCUUUUAGUAUUUAAUUAAUAAUUAGAUCUUUUCAUGUAA
Solanum dulcamara is the source of this 605-nucleotide long non-coding RNA. RefSeq lists it as uncharacterized. Lineage: Eukaryota; Viridiplantae; Streptophyta; Magnoliopsida; Solanales; Solanaceae. The transcript is spliced from 2 exons. The record is from RefSeq and is a predicted model, not a curated record.